ACAUCAGUGGAUCAGUGGUAGAAUUCUCACCUUCCAUGUGGGGGACCCAGGUUUGAUUCCUGGCUAAUGUA
This 71-nucleotide transfer RNA is filed under the name Loxodonta africana (African savanna elephant). It matches the Rfam family "tRNA". Rfam says of the family: Transfer RNA (tRNA) molecules are approximately 80 nucleotides in length. Their secondary structure includes four short double-helical elements and three loops (D, anti-codon, and T loops). Lineage: Eukaryota; Metazoa; Chordata; Mammalia; Proboscidea; Elephantidae. The record is from Rfam by way of RNAcentral.